RNAcentral lists this ribosomal RNA (808 nucleotides) under uncultured bacterium. RNAcentral's name for it is "bacterial SSU rRNA". It matches the Rfam family "Bacterial small subunit ribosomal RNA", at positions 59 to 884 of the family's 1533-position model. The record is from RNAcentral.
CAGUCGAACGAAGUUUUUCUUUCGGGAGGAACUUAGUGGCGGACGGGUGAGCAAUGCGUGGGUAACCUGCCCUGUACAGGGGGACAACAGCUGGAAACGGCUGCUAAUACCGCAUAAGCCCUUAGCACUGCAUGGUGCAUAGGGAAAAGGAGCAAUCCGGUACAGGAUGGACCCGCGUCUGAUUAGCCAGUUGGCAGGGUAACGGCCUACCAAAGCGACGAUCAGUAGCCGAUCUGAGAGGAUGUACGGCCACAUUGGGACUGAGACACGGCCCAGACUCCUACGGGAGGCAGCAGUGGGGAAUAUUGCACAAUGGAGGAAACUCUGAUGCAGCGACGCCGCGUGAGUGAAGAAGUAUUUCGGUAUGUAAAGCUCUAUCAGCAGGGAAGAAAAUGACGGUACCUGACUAAGAAGCACCGGCUAAAUACGUGCCAGCAGCCGCGGUAAUACGUAUGGUGCAAGCGUUAUCCGGAUUUACUGGGUGUAAAGGGAGCGUAGGUGGCAAGGCAAGCCAGAAGUGAAAACCCGGGGCUCAACCGCGGGAUUGCUUUUGGAACUGUCAUGCUAGAGUGCAGGAGGGGUGAGCGGAAUUCCUAGUGUAGCGGUGAAAUGCGUAGAUAUUAGGAGGAACACCGGAGGCGAAGGCGGCUCACUGGACUGUAACUGACACUGAGGCUCGAAAGCGUGGGGAGCAAACAGGAUUAGAUACCCUGGUAGUCCACGCGGUAAACGAUGAAUACUAGAUGUCGGGUAGCACAGCUACUCGGUGUCGUCGCAAACGCAAUAAGUAUUCCACCUGGGGAGUACG